This 253-nucleotide ribosomal RNA is filed under the name uncultured bacterium. Its description in RNAcentral is "partial 16S ribosomal RNA". It matches the Rfam family "Bacterial small subunit ribosomal RNA", at positions 524 to 776 of the family's 1533-position model. The record is from RNAcentral.
UACGGAGGGAGCUAGCGUUGUUCGGAAUUACUGGGCGUAAAGCGCGUGUAGGCGGCCCUGCAAGUCGGGUGUGAAAUCCCACGGCUCAACCGUGGAAGUGCAUUCGAAACUGCAGGGCUAGAGUCCUGGAGAGGAAGGUGGAAUGCUUGGUGUAGAGGUGAAAUUCGUAGAUAUCAAGCGGAACACCGGUGGCGAAGGCAGCCUUCUGGACAGUGACUGACGCUGAGACGCGAAAGCGUGGGGAGCAAACAGG